GGGUCACACCCACGGCACAUGGAGGUUCCCAGGCUAGGGCUCCAAUCAGAGCUAUAGCCAUGGGCCUACGCCAGAGCCACAGCAAUGCAGGAUCCGAGCCGCAUCUGCGACCUACACCACAGCUCACAGCAACGCCAGAUCCUUAACCCCCAGAGCAAGGCCAGGCAUCGAACCCGCAACCUCAUGGUUCCUAAUCGGAUUUGUUAACCAUUGAGCCAUGACGGGAACUCCAUAAUUGGCUAAUUUUUAUGUUUUAUAGCUAUGAAUAUUAGAGCAAGGAAUGACCCAAUCCAUUGUUUUUAGACAUAGAAUCUUUUUGCGUUUUUGUCCCAUAAUAUCUCAUAAUAUUUCAAUAGGAAAUGCCUCUCCAUUUUCAUCACCUACUAUAAACUAUCAAAAUGUAAUGGGGAGUUGCUCUUCAGUGGGCAUAAAUUUUAUCAUGCAAGAUAAUAAUAAGUUCCAGAGAUCUGCUGUCCAACCUCGUGCCCAUAGUUUAGUUACAACACUAUAUUGGACACUAAACAUUCCAGAGGGUGAAUCUCAUGUUAAACGUGUUUACCACAGUUUAAAAAGAAAAAAAAAAAAGGGAAAGAAAGUGAGAGACAUGGGGGUGCCAGGAAUAGGGGAAGAAGGGAGGAAGAAAGGAAGGAACAACAACACCACAAAUUAAUACUCUAGAGAGUGGAGCCCUCACCUCACUUGUUUUUCAAGGCUGUGCUAACCUGGACAGAAUUGGUAUGGCAUUGGGCUAGAGCCAUUUUGAAUCCAUCUUUUCUCUGGUUCAGAGGUUUUGCCAUGUCCACUAAGCAUGGGAAGGGCCUCACAGAAGCCACCAGUGAGUGGAGAGAAUGAGCCCACCCCACCCCCCACCUUUAUAUGUAAUUCAAAAUAGUAGUUGAGUUUUCAAAAGGACACUGCUAAAAGUGAUGUGGAAAUGAGAAUAGUUUCCUUCUAGAUGUUUUUCAGUUUGCAAAAUUCUGGAUACAUUCAUCAAAGAGGAAUCUGCCUCUUUUUGAUUUUGUUUCCCACUUCCCUGCUCUGUUGAGACCUGUGACUGGUCUGUCUUUUGGGAAAGCCAGCAAGGGCCAUACAUAGCAGCAGCUUCAACUGCAUUUUCCUUUGAUCUUCUAAAUUCCAAAGCUAUUUUUUAAAAAUCAGAACUGAUAGAUGCUUUGCAAAAAUUUCUUUGUCUAUUUUCUGUGAUUUCUCAGUUUAGUUUCUAAAGCAAACAUAUUUCUCAACAGCAUUUAAGAUGUUCUGGUCAUUUUGGUUUUAUUUUCUACUGUUCAAAUUCAUGCAAAAUUGGGUAGUACAAUAAACAUUUAAUAAAAUAGGGGCUCCACCAAAAAGCUUUGCCACAAGUCACUGCCUUCUCAAGGCCAUUAAAUGAAGAGGAUUUUAUAAAUCUCUCUGGUCUUAGGUGGAUCGAACAACAAAUUUGGGAUUCAUUAUUAUCCAGAAACAGUGAUCAUCUAGACACUGUUGAUUAUAGAGUCAUUCUCUCUGUCCUAUUUUUAAAUAUCCCUCCAUAUCAGCUUUCUUCUGCCCAAAUGCACUAGGUGAAACUAAGUAAGUCCUCCGCUGCCUGACCUCAGUUCCUUACUGUGAUUUUGCCGUGUUAAUUUUCACUGCCUGUCAAGUACUCUCACUCUUCAAAAUGGCUUGGGAUAUUAGGAAUCUGCCUUUAGUAAGGUCUCCACUUAUUUUGAUUUAUUUAGGUCAUUAAUCUGUAUUUUUUUCCAACACCUAAGAUGAUGAUUUUUAAAAAGAGUUUUACAGAGAAGAAAAGCAUGGACUUGGAGAAUAGACUUGUGGCUGCCCACAGGAGAGGGAGGGAGUGGGAGGGAUCGGGAGCUUGGGGUUAUCAGAUACAAUUUAGAAUAGAUUUACAAGGAGAUCCUGCUGAGUAGCAUUGAGAGCUAUGUCUAGAUACUCAUAUGCAACAGAACAAAGGGUGGGGAAAAAAAUGUAUACAUGAAAGAGUAACUUGACCCCCAUGCUGUACAGCGGGGGGAAAGAAUAAAAAAUAAAAAAUAAAUAAAAUAAAAAAAAGAAAGAAAAUUUCUGUUUUUGCUUUUUAUUGAAGUAUAGUAAAUUUUUACAAUGUUGUGUUUAUUUCACAUGUAUAAUACAAUGAUUUGGUUAUAUAUACAUAUAUGUAUAACUUUUUAGAUUCUUUCCAUUAUUAGUUAUUAUAAGAUUUUGAGUAUAUGUGCUAUACACAAGGUCCUCACUGUACAGAGUUUUAAAGGUGACAGAGGUGCUUUGAAUACCUAGCUAGAAUCCACCAGGGAAUGUGUGUACUUUAAUAACUCAAGGCCCCAAGGAAAGAGUCUUAUGUGUGAUGUAAGAGGAAGACAGAAAGGCACUGAAGGCAAAAUCUUAAGUUUAAGAAUCUUGAAACCAAGAGAAGUUGCCAGAACGUUCCAGAAUCCUCUGAGACAGUUUUUCACAGAUAAAAGAGACUUCCAAAAACUUCUCAUAGAAUUUUUUUUCAUGAUUUGACUUUCUUUCAUGAGAAUAUAAUUAAUUUUACACCAAGAAUAAUCUAAAGAUUCUUUUGGAACAGCUUGAGAGAUUCAGAUAUCCUGGGGAAAUAAUUUAUAGAUUCCACUCCCACGUGUAACCACCAUCACCAGUUCCUCCCUGGUGUCCUGGAUUAGGACCCAUGAAAAUCAGGGCUAGUUCUGACCUGGUGUUAUAGGAACAUGAACACUAAGGGACUAGAAACACAGGAGAAACUUCAUGCUCCAGUCUCUGCACUCCCAGCACUAGAGAUUCAUUUCUCUGAGCCAUGAAGCCUUUUCUUUAAAUCAUAGAAUCUUAGAAAUGAGAGAAAUCUUAGAAUGAACCCAAUUCUACCAUUUUAUUGAUGAAUAAACUGAGGUACCUACCAUUCAACAUGUCCAAAGUCACAGUUAGUGUGCUAGCUAUUUACCUGUGACUAGAAAUCAAGUCUUUAAACCCAUUCCAAUUAGUUAUGACUAAAAUUAACCUAAAAGAAGUUUUCUGAAAGAAUCCUGAGUGUCUUUGCCUGGAUCCCUCAAAAUCAGGGCCUUGCACAAAGGAUUCCUUAGAGUUUAUCUGGGAAAAUGAUGCUAGGGAACAGGGAUAUGGGGCCUGAGAGAGAGAAAUGGGAGUGGAGGGUGAAAAGACAAUUCAAGGAAGAGUUAUUAAGUUGGCCAACCUACUCACACUAGGGAUCUGGGUGACUGGUGCUCAACUUCCCUGAAACCUUCCUGAAAUACACGUGGGGACAAAAGGAUAUAGCCGAUAUAUUGGCUUUGAUUGGUCAAUGGUGACUCUAUGGGCACUAAGUCCCUUGGGCUUCCAUAUGGUGAUUUCAGGAAUAGGGAACAGAUUCCCACACUGUGGUAUCACAGAAGUACCCAAGUACCCAAGUAGGAAACGAGAAGUAGAGUUUUGGCCUUCUGUGUGAUGCCUUAAGAAUGAAGCUUUAGGAAGAUGAUGGAAUGGCAUUGAACCAGUAGCCAUAGUGUGGCUGGCAAAAUAAAUUAAGUCAGGAGAAAUCUGAAGGGCAGCACAAGAGAUGUUUUCUAGACUCUGCAGAGGAGCUGAAAGUGCAGAAAAACUUGCUUGGUGCACUUUCCUUACCACCCCUCCAAAUAAAUCUUGUGUAAUCAGCAUCUCUAAUGUUUCCCACACCCUUUUAUGUCUCUAGUCUGUGGGUAUCAGUGUCAUGCUCCUUUCUCCUGAUAUGCUAGCUCUCUCUGUGUCAUGUAAAGUUGGCCACCAAAGCUUCCCAAGUUUAAUAUCUUAGAUUUUUAACCCAGGAGAGAAACUGCUCUUCCUCUCUAUCCCAAGUUUGAAAAUCUCAUGGAUGGGAUACUGGUCUAUCCAGGGACAAAUGCCAUCUCCUGGAUCAUAAGGCAGGAUCAUAGAGGACAUGGUGGGUGGAGAAGGGUGAAGUUCGUCGUCAUGGGGAUAAAGUGUGGUAGGUUGUUGGAGGAUGAAACAGCAGGUCCCCACAAAACCAGCCAAAGAAGUUUUACUGCUAGAUAGUUUCUAUUAAAAUGCAACUAUACUUGAAGGAAUAACACCAAAUUAACCUCUUAUUGAGCAUUCUUCAAGCUUGGAUGACCUCUGAGAGUGUAGAAAUGGGACAGGGUAUAGACCUCUAGUAAGGGGGAGAGAGCAUCCCAAUGGGAGAUAGGGUCAUUCUCUUGUUUUGUGGUUAACCCUGGGCUUAUCCCUUGAUUUAGCCUCCAGCAGACUGUGAAGCUGUAGGUAGUGGAAUACAAUAUUAAGUGUGAAUAAUUUUUUUUAAAACCCUUGGUAAUACUUUUGGAGAAAGAAGAAUCACAACAGAUUUCUUUCUCUCUUCCAGUGCAUUUUAACUUAUUGAGGCUAUUUUCUUAUUAAAGUGGAACUCACUUGGAGAUGACAAGAGGGAAUUAAAUCUUCAAAUAGAACAAAAAUGUUGGUUGACAUUCUCUCAUCAGAAAAUGAAAAGUCAAAUGGAGAUUUCACCACUUGAUUUAUCUGGCAUACUUGCUAUCUCUAUAUAAUAGCUAAUAUCCUUUGCAUGUUAACCAUGUGUCUGGCUGUGUGCCCCAUGUUUUGCACGCAUUCAUCUACCCAAUCCUCAGAAGUAUCCUGUGACACUUUUCCCCUCCACUUUUUCCCAGUGAAAGAAAUUGAAGUACAGAGAAAUGAUGUGCUCUUGUUUUAACAGCUAGUAAGUGAGAUUCAGAUCCAGGCUGUGUUGUUCCACAGCCUUUCUCCUUAACCUUUUUGCUAUAUUGUCUCUCUGAUGAAUUAUGAAAUUAACCUUAAAGAGACUGUUCUGAACAACUACAAUAGAAAAGUACCAGAGUUCCCAUUGUGGAUCAUUGGGUUAUGAAAAUGACCAAUAUCCAUGAGGACGCAGAUUCGAUCCAUGGCCUCGCUCAGUGGAUUAAGGAUCCAGCAUUGCCAUGAGCUGUGGUAUAGGUGGCAGAGGUGGCUCAGAUCUGGCACUGCUGUGGCUAUGUUGUAGGCCAGCAGCUGCAGCUCUGAUUCGACCCCCAGCCUGGGAAUUUUCAUAUGCCACAAGUGCAGCCCUAAAAAGCAAAAAGCAAAAAAAAAAAAAAAAAAAAAAAAAAAAAAAGAGAGAGGGAGAGAGAAAAGUGCCCUUCAGAUAGGUUUUUAAUUGUUGACUUACUUUUGUUUUGUCUGACUUAGCUUGACUUCUGCCUCUACAAUGAUAUUUAUAUAAAACUGACAUCUGUUAAAAAGGUCAUGUGGGUACAUGUCCUUUUUAGACUUUGAGAUAUAUUAUGGUAAUAUCAUUCUCUAUAUUAUUUACAGAGAUGAAUACCAUAAAUUUUUGAUAAAGUAAACAAACCAAUAAAUGAUAGUAAACUUGAUAAUUGAAUCAGCGAGUACCUGGGGAAAGGAUCUUUUAAAAUAUUUUCCACUUGAACAUAGGUAGAAAUGAAAACUUUACCUAAACUUAUACUCUUAUAAAAUACUCCCCAUACCUUAUUAGAUAUUAGGUAACAGUCCUCUGAUCUCAUGUUCUUGAGAUCAUUAAAUUCAAGUAUUGCCUACUAAAUGGAAAACUACUAUUCGAGAGAUGUCUUACGGGGAACAGAAUAAGCUUAAACACUGGUCCAUCAGAAAAACAAAAUGACAACAACAACAAACCCAAAGCUAUUGUGGGCCUCCUUAACUUUUAGUAGUCGCCAAAUAAUUUAUAUAGGUAUGUGUUUGUGUGUGUGUUUAGUGGAGAAAGUUGUCCUCUUUUUUUUCAAGUGUGCCUUCCCAGUCCUGCUUCUAGGAAACACUGGCUCCAUGAGAAGAGCAUUACUUACAGAGAGCAUCACCAGUCCUGGGGCUCCAUCAGAUGAUAUCCCAUGGUGCCCAUCUAACAAGCUAAGUGUAGAGACAGGACCUGCAUUCAGAAAGAUAAACAAUGAUGAUAAUCACAUGCUGAGUUCCAAAUAAGCAGUGCUAACCAUAAACACUAUGAAAAGACACUGAAGGAUGAUUGCUGAACAAGGGGGUGUGGUGGUAGCAGUAGACAUGGGAAGGGUGGGAUCUAUCCCUAAUUGUUAGGGUCUUUCUAAAGAAUGACUGCUUU
This 6085-nucleotide long non-coding RNA is filed under the name Sus scrofa (pig). RNAcentral describes it as "lncRNA (ENSSSCG00000055619.1)". Lineage: Eukaryota; Metazoa; Chordata; Mammalia; Artiodactyla; Suidae. The record is from RNAcentral.